This 376-nucleotide unclassified non-coding RNA is filed under the name Hevea brasiliensis (rubber tree). Lineage: Eukaryota; Viridiplantae; Streptophyta; Magnoliopsida; Malpighiales; Euphorbiaceae. The record is from RNAcentral.
GUUCUUAUCGUGUUUGGGCAGGUGCUACUUCCAUAUAUAUGUUGUGCAAAGUCGCGAUAGAUUAAGGAAGGCAUUAGUCAAAAUGAUAGUUGAGCUCUUCUCCUCGCUUACCAUCCUCUUGUUUUUGGUUUUCUUCAUAAGGAAACAAUGGUACUACAAGCUUCCUCCAAGCCCAAUGGCCUUGCCGAUUAUUGGUCACCUCCAUCUCCUUGGACCCCUAAUUCACCAUUCCUUUCGUGAGAUCUCAUCUCGCUAUGGUCCUCUGAUUUAUCUCAGGCUUGGUUCUAUAUCAGUUGUUGUAGCUUCCGCCCCAGAACUAGCCAAAGAACUUCUCAAAACGCAUGAACUCACAUUCUCUUCUCGCAAGCAUUCUAUA